AUCGAGAGAGAGAGACUAAGAGACCGAGAGAGAAAUGAAUAAAAAAAAUGAAGAAGAAUGAGGAAGAGGAGGAAUAGGUGUUGGCUUUUCAAUUUCCAUUCUUUACUUCUCCUUAUUUUCAAGAGACGUCUUCAUCCUUGAGCCCGACAUAUUAUGUCCUAAUAGUGGGGAAGUGAUAUGGACUUCAGUUAAGCUGCCCAAAGGCGAAGAGUCGAGAUAUCGGACAAACUUUACUGAGCUCCGUCUUAUAGGGUCCAGUGGCUUUGGUGUUGUGGCAGAAUGCAAAAAUAAGUUGGACAAAAAAGUUUAUGCAGUUAAAAAAAAUAUCUUUGAAGGCUGCCAAUAUGUCUUUUCAGAAAAUCUUGAGUCUUGGAUUGAGCCCGUUGUGUCUGGAUGCUCUAAUGACUUGUGGGAGUCAGACGAGAUAUAAUCACCUUGCCUCUAUAUAGUGAUGGAAUAUUGUCCAGGGUGUUUGAGCUCGUUUCUCGAUGAUUUCAGUAGCCACUAGAGUAGGGAGCAGGCUUUGGUGAUUUUUCGACAAAUUGUGCAAGUAUUGGCCCACAUUCAUGAGAUGAUCAUUAUUCAUCGAGAUCUAUCUCGAUCAAAUAUAUUUUUGGAUGAAGAUGGGAACGUGAAAGUAGGAGACUUUGGAUUAGAUAAAUUGAAGCUCAAAUGAGUUUUAUGCAGUGUCAUAGUUUAGUUUAAUUUUUAGUUUAUUGGAGAUUGCAUUUUAUUCUUUUUGGUGCAGCAAAGAAGUUGGAUGAUGAUGGUAACACCUUAGUGUCGACUAGUGAUGGAACAAACAGAGAGCUCCGGAGUAUGCUUACAGGGAGGUUGAUGCCAAGGUGGACAUUUAUAGCCUUGGCAUGAUGCUCGUGGAGUUAUUAUACCCAUUUGAUACAGGAUUUGAAAGGACUAAAGUUUUGGGGGACCUGAAAACGGAGUUUAUCCAGAUGAAUGGAACGUUCAGCAUAAAGUAGUUAUUGGCAGACUGAUCUCAGAGAGCCCCUUGGCUCGGCCCACUGCUGUUGAAAUAUUGGAGGAUGAAAAUUUUAUUGGCUGAGGAUUUUCUAUAUAAAACUCCCCUAUUGGGAUGCAUAAACUUCUCGUAAUGAUUGUAAUGUAAACAGUAAAAUGUGCACGAAAUGAAUUUUAUCGCACGCUUUACACGCUCCCAUUUUUAGCA
Molecule: long non-coding RNA, 1186 nt
Organism: Olea europaea var. sylvestris
Lineage: Eukaryota; Viridiplantae; Streptophyta; Magnoliopsida; Lamiales; Oleaceae
Exons: 5
Source: RefSeq, a predicted model, not a curated record